UCCAUUUACAGUCCAUUUACAAAACCCAGUUACAUUUAUAGCCCAAGACCUGAUUAGCCCAGGUACCUAAAACUACCCAGUGCCCAAUUACACCCAAGCCCGUAUUAUAGACCAAAUGCUGCCCAAAAUACACAGGGCCCAAGAGGCCCAAUCUGUUAACGGGAGACAGAAGGCUUAAGGUUUCAGAAAUCCUAGGCGCCGCAAGCACUCCAACCGUCACUCUCCAAUCGACGCCUCCAUAAGCACUCCAACCGUCACUCUCCAAUUGACGCCUCCAUCAGUGCCGUGAUUCCAGGCCCCGUAUCGCGCCGUGAUCGGCGCGCGAAUCAACGCCAGUGUGCCAUUAUCAGUGCCCGAUCAUCGCUAGUCUCCUCGUCGUCACCUGCAAAAAGAGAAAGAAGAACACAGCAAACAAGGCAAUAAAUCGAAUAUGGAAUAAACUAAACUUGUAAAUAGAGGCUAUAAAAGCCGAAUCAUUUCACUGUAACAAGGACCGAUUUUUACAGAUACAAAAAAAUAUACACACAUAUAUACACAGAAGAAAGAAAUAAGAAGCUGUUGUUUACUUAAAAAAGGUGAUUUUGUUAUAUUUUUUUUUCUUCUCUGUUCAACGUAUAUAAAUCAUUUUUUUAAAAAAACGGUUAAGUUUAAAAGGGAGAAGGGAUUACCUGCGAUUCGCCGAGAGGAAUGAAGGCUUUUAGCCUUCCAACCGCCGUGAACGGUGGCACGUACAGCGCGUGGGCGCUUGUAGUCCAGUGGCCGGAGGCCGGGGCCGAAGGGCUCCCCUUUUCUCCUUUUUCAGAGGAUUUCAAUUUUCUUUUUUAA
Molecule: long non-coding RNA, 825 nt
Filed under: Gossypium barbadense (sea-island cotton)
Lineage: Eukaryota; Viridiplantae; Streptophyta; Magnoliopsida; Malvales; Malvaceae
Description: long non-coding RNA (GBAR_LNC009522)
Source: RNAcentral